This 102-nucleotide non-coding RNA is filed under the name Brevibacillus parabrevis. RNAcentral's name for it is "Guanine sequence". It matches the Rfam family "Purine riboswitch aptamer". Rfam says of the family: Riboswitches are metabolite binding domains within certain messenger RNAs that serve as precision sensors for their corresponding targets. Allosteric rearrangement of mRNA structure is mediated by ligand binding, and this results in modulation of gene expression. A class of riboswitches that selectively recognises guanine and becomes saturated at concentrations as low as 5 nM. The record is from RNAcentral. Lineage: Bacteria; Bacillati; Bacillota; Bacilli; Caryophanales; Paenibacillaceae.
GCAAUAGGCAUAAGAAGUGCUCGUAUAAUUUUGGGAAUAAGGCCCAACAGUUUCUACCGGGUGACCGUAAAUCGCCUGACUACGAGUGAAAUAGCGUCUGUU